GACGAACGCUGGCGGCGUGCUUAACACAUGCAAGUCGAACGGAAAGGCCCCCUUGUGGGGUACUCGAGUGGCGAACGGGUGAGUAACACGUGAGUAACCUACCCUUGACUUUGGGAUAACUUCAGGAAACUGGGGCUAAUACCGGAUAGGAGCUCCUGCUGCAUGGUGGGGGUUGGAAAGUUUCGGCGGUUGGGGAUGGACUCGCGGCUUAUCAGCUUGUUGGUGGGGUAGUGGCUCACCAAGGCUUUGACGGGUAGCCGGCCUGAGAGGGUGACCGGCCACAUUGGGACUGAGAUACGGCCCAGACUCCUACGGGAGGCAGCAGUGGGGAAUAUUGCACAAUGGGCGGACGCCUGAUGCAGCAACGCCGCGUGCGGGAUGACGGCCUUCGGGUUGUAAACCGCUUUCGCCUGUGACGAAGCGUGAGUGACGGUAGUGGGUAAAGAAGCACCGGCUAACUACGUG
RNAcentral lists this ribosomal RNA (465 nucleotides) under uncultured bacterium. RNAcentral's name for it is "partial 16S ribosomal RNA". It matches the Rfam family "Bacterial small subunit ribosomal RNA", at positions 28 to 507 of the family's 1533-position model. The record is from RNAcentral.